CAUUCUCAUCAGAUCACUGAAGUUAAGCAGCAAUGAGCCUGCUUAGUACUUAAAUGGGUGACCACUUAGGAGC
Non-coding RNA from Acanthosepion pharaonis, 73 nucleotides. NCBI's taxonomy places the organism in Eukaryota, Metazoa, Mollusca, Cephalopoda, Sepiida, Sepiidae. The record is from the annotation of a GenBank genome assembly.